RNAcentral lists this long non-coding RNA (3437 nucleotides) under Mus musculus (house mouse). Its description in RNAcentral is "long non-coding RNA chr2:62664326-62667763". The record is from RNAcentral. Lineage: Eukaryota; Metazoa; Chordata; Mammalia; Rodentia; Muridae.
ACUGCGCUCGGACCUUCCGCACCUGUCGCACGCACUUGCGCUUUCCCCGCUCUAAGCCGCGCUGACGCUGACUUACUGGUGACGCGUUACUUUCGAUCGCCUGGUCAUGGCCUACCCGGGAUACGGAGGGGCGGUAAGUCCUCGCGAGCUGUGGCGACCCCGCGGGCCGCAUCACCAUGCGGAGUUCACCCUGUGGCCCUGGCAGUGACCUCUGGUACCAGGCGACGCCGGGACACCGUAAGGUGCUAGAAGCUAGGGCUGGGCGGGGCCCUGCGCCCAGGGGAGAACCGCGAGCUGGAGUCUGGUCCAGAGCCUCAAGAAACGUCCUUGUCCAGGCGGUGGUGUGAAGUGUUUGUGCUUUCUAGAUUUUGUUUAUAGAGUGGAGGAGCAAAAGACCAUGUCUUGUUCCAUUUACCUUUUGUGAUUUAUCCCCAACUUAAGUAGUUUUUCUAGUUAUCUUUUUACCACCAUAUCUUGUCUUUUAAGUUGCUUAUGAAAAAAAAAAUUGAGAUGUACGUUCAGUGCCUCCUAAACUUUUCUUUUUCUAUAGUACCAAGCGCGACCGGAUUUUCUAGACUUUGCUUUUGGAGGGGUUCGGCUGUUCCCUCUUCUGUAACCUUAAUCCUCAGUACCUCUGAGAGUUUCAAGUCAUUAUUGCAACCUGUGGGUAGACCCUUCCUCUUUCGAAAGAAGCUAAACUUUCACUCCCCUCAUCAAUGUUCUGCCCAGUGAGGCCGGCUAUGUAGUGUGGCUGGGCAGUGGUCACUGCAGUGCUGGCAGAAGAGAGCAGAUUUCCUAGGCCUGUUGCUAUUUGUUGUUCCCUAAAAAGAGACAUUAGUGUUUUGUUACAGAUAGGUGUAGACAUUGACAUGUGAUUAUGGGCUUCAAAAAAUAAUCCCUACCCUUGGGAGUAAGUGAUUAGCUUAAAAAGUAAUUUUUCAGUUCUAGGCCUUCAGCUUCAAUACACACUUUACUGAAACUGGUUUGCUUGUAGUUACUUGCUUGAAUUCCAGCUAGCAUUGUGCACUUUCAAAUAUAUACUCCUCAUUAGUCAUUUAAAUGGACUGAGAACGUCCUUAAGGUAAUGUUAUCAGUCCACCUUUUAAUACUUGUUAUAUUUAGUUGUUAUAUUAAAAAAAAAUAGAAAGUAGUUUUUGCUAGGAGAUACACCUUUGUCUAAUAAAGUAUAUAUUUCACGGGAUGCAUUUCCAAUAAAUUUUCAUUUGUUUAAUGAUUAUUUAUCAGAGAUAGCUGAGGAUGUAGCUUAGUUGGUAGAGUGUUUCCCCUGGGUUGGAUCCUCAGAACCACAUAAAUUGGGCAUGUUAGCCUGGCCUGAAGUCCCAGCCCUUGAGAGGUGGGGGCAGGAACUACAAGAGUUCAAGGUCAUUCUCAGCUUGAGGCUAAUCUGAGCUCCCAGAGACCUUGUAUAAAUUAGUUUACAAGGGCCAAACCCAGCUAGAACCAGCUGAGCACGGUAGGCCAAGGCAGAAUUGUUGAGAGUUUCAAGGCCAGCCUGUGUCUGCAAUGGGGUCUAGGCUCUCCUGAGGCACAGUACAAAAUCUUGUCCCCCAAAUGUACAAAGGCUAAAAUAAAAUAAGAAUCCUCAAGUUGUAUACUUUUGUAUAUUAUUAUUUCUGUACUAAUAAAAUUGUAUCUUGACCUAAAGGAAUUUUCUUUCUCAUUUUGGUCAUAAGAAAGAAAACAAAAUAAACAUAUGCAUAUUGAAGUAUAAAUGUGAGAGGAACAUCUGUGUUUUUUGUAAAUUUUAAGCAUUAAAUACACAGAAAUUUAAGGGAUCCAAAUCGUUACAAUUUUUAUAUAAUUUCAUUUUGGAAAACUAUGUUUCUUCAAGAAAAAAUACUAGACCACUUCCUCUAAAAUCCUCUAAAAUUAAGGUUUCUUAAUGUAUAAAUAUACUUGGAUAUGAAAUUUAUUUUAAAAUCACACACACAUAUAUAUAAGUUUCCGUAGAACUAUAAAAAAAUAAAAUUUUUAUAAACUAUUUUAAACUGAUAAACCACAGAAGAAAGUAUAUUACUUGUGAAAAUACAAUGAACAUCUGUAAUAUUUUUUAUCACACAUUCAAGCACUAUAAUGUUUUCUAUCUUUGCCUUUCAUUUCUUAGUUGAUUCUUACACAUUUGCUAAUUAUAAAUACAGAUUUUACCUCAAACCCAGUAAUGAGAUUUAGUGCCAGGAAAAGCAAAAGUCCAGAUUUUUAUGUUGACAUCAUGGUUUUAAUUUUUAAAAAUUGUUUAAAAUACAAUGCCCAACAAAAUAGAGCAGUGGUACAAACUAUCCAUCCAGACAACCAACCAACCAGCCAACCAACCAACCAACCAGCCAGCCAGCCAGCCAGCCUGCCAGCCAGCCAGCCAACCAGUCAACCAACCAACAAACCAACCAACCAGUCAAACAACCAACCAAACAGCCAACCAAUCAAACAGCCAACCAACCAACCAAACAAACUAACCCAAGCAGAAUCAUGUGGUUAUAUGUAAUAAUUAUUCAUCAUAUGAGAAGUUUAUUUUAGUGUGGUAUCUAGGAAAUAGUUGCUCUGUGAGUUUCCUCAAUAAAAUAUACAAAAGUGACUUAAACAAAUACUAUCUCCAAAAAUAAGAGUACUUCAUAAGGGACACACAAUUACAGUUUUGCUAAUCCUAAAGGUGGUGAGAAAAGUAAAAUAGUAUCAAACAGUACACCUACCUCACAUAUAAUUCCCAUGGAACUACCAAUGACAUCUAUGCAAUGUGCCUCUUUUCCUAGUGUAUAGCUACCUACCAACAAAGGAAGGAUGAUUCUAAAAGUAAUGGUACUGCACAGGAUGGCUUGUGGCCGGUACCCCACACACGAGGAAAAUGCAUGUAGUUCAGCAUCCAUAGAGCACAGUGUGAAGAUACUGUGUCUAGACACAGCAGAUACUCCAGAACAGAAAGAUAUCCACAAGGAGAGUUAAUGUAUAAAACCAUAGCACACAGUUAAAUAACGCACAUAUACUGCAGUCUUUAAAGAAAGGCGAUCAUCCUUCUCAUUGUACAAGGAUAGGGAGUAGUCAUUACAGUUACCUAUCAUGGUUUUGAUAACACACGCACACACUUGUAGAUACAUGUAGAGAAUGAGUGUGUAAGUGGAAUUUAUUUGUCAUAUUUCUCAAGUUAAAUUUCUGUGGAUCUGCAACUUCCAGGAAAGGAAAAAAUAAAAGCCCUCUUCACUGCGAGUUAAGAAAGGUCUCGAUUCUCCAUCCCGAAGAUUCACUUCAGACAUUUUGUUCUACCGUUCAUCUGAUAAUUAAAUUAAUGGAAUUUUCCAUUUCUGAAUGUGUAUUUUCAGUUUGCCAGUUGUUUCAACAAACAAGUGUCUUUUAAUGUUUAAACUAGCUGCUGCAAAAUAUUUAAGAGAGGAUUUAAACUUCAGAUCUGACGGAUUAAACAGCAAAUC